GCGAGCCGCGGCCGCCCCCUCCCUCCGUCGCAGCCGGCACCACCGCCGCCCCUCCCUCCGUCGCAGCCGGCAGCCACCGCGGCGUGGCCCUCCCCUUCGAAGGCCUGCCUCAUGAAGACCACCCCAUGCCUCCCAGCAGCCGGAGUUCUUCGAUCCUCCCAGUGCAGCCAGCUCAGACGCCGCCCCCUCCUCAUGUGCCAGAUCUCGGUCGACGUGACGACGCCUAACCGAGGAAUUCUCCUCCUCGGCCAAGUCUGCUGCGCCAUCGCUCUCUUCACCGCCUGGAUCGGAGCCGCCAGCCACCACAUCGGGAUCGGAGACAUCGUCAUCCAUCAGGCGUGUAAAACUGGUUUAUGCCAUGAGUCAUGUAUCAUCCGUCAGAGACAUGACAAGCUAUCCAAGAUCUAUGUGGAGGCCUGCACAGACUAAGGCAUAGCCUAGUAGUGGGGAGGGGUUGAUGCCUUCCCACCCACCCGAGUUCGAGUCCUCAUGCUCGCAAUUUCGGUGAUGUUGUAUCCCUGCUAUCAAAAUACCACGUGGCCCCUCCCACGUAGGAAUCAUUUUUAUGUGGAGGCCUGCCGUGCAGAGAAAGGUUCCUAAUUCCCGUCGUAGUGGUGAGCACGUGGUCGUUGCAGUGGUACUUACACGUGUACUACCGAUACGUUGGAUCGCUGACCACACCACCGUGCAUCGAGAACAUCAUCUGAAACAUCCUCAGACAGGUGAGGGAGAUGACGAUGGAGCAGGCCGCCGCCCUGGAUGAAGGCUACAUGCGCAACAACAGGCCGACACAGCAGCUCAACGGCUGCACCGUGCAGCUAUAUCACCGGUUUGGGAGAACAAGACGAACGAGGCCUGAUCGAUGUGCAUCGGUCCUUUGAAGAUGAUGGCACAAAAGUUAUUGCAGUUUCUUUUCUUUUUGGUUUCGUUUCACCAAAAGAUAAUCUGUAGUUGUUAUUUCUGAACUCGUGUUAGGUUCCUAGCAAGAUUUGCUCUGUCAGUUUGAUGUGAUAUAGAUCGAGGGAUUUGGACCUCCAAGAAAUCUCACAUUUUCGUGAUGACCUGAUCAUGUGUGGUUAUGCUUGCUGGAAGUUUACACUUUGAUGUAAUAUUGGUUGAGGGAUUUGGAAGAUCGAUCA
Long non-coding RNA from Lolium perenne, 1139 nucleotides. RefSeq lists it as uncharacterized. Lineage: Eukaryota; Viridiplantae; Streptophyta; Magnoliopsida; Poales; Poaceae. The record is from RefSeq and is a predicted model, not a curated record.